RNAcentral lists this ribosomal RNA (608 nucleotides) under Trichoderma harzianum. RNAcentral describes it as "eukaryotic LSU rRNA". The stretch from base 231 to 384 matches the Rfam family "5.8S ribosomal RNA". Lineage: Eukaryota; Fungi; Ascomycota; Sordariomycetes; Hypocreales; Hypocreaceae. The record is from RNAcentral.
UUCCGUAGGGGGACCUGUGGGGGGGGAUCAGUACCCACGACACAACUCCCAACCCAAUGUGAACGUUACCAAACUGUUGCCUCGGCGGGAUCUCUGCCCCGGGGGCGUCGCAGCCCCGGACCAGGCGCCCGCCGGAGAACCAACCAAAACUCUUAUUGUACCACCUCGCGCGUUUUUUUAUAAUCUGAGCCUUCUCGGCGCCUCUCGUAGGCGUUUCGAAAAUGAAUCAAAACUUUCAACAACGGAUCUCUUGGUUCUGGCAUCGAUGAAGAACGCAGCGAAAUGCGAUAAGUAAUGUGAAUUGCAGAAUUCAGUGAAUCAUCGAAUCUUUGAACGCACAUUGCGCCCGCCAGUAUUCUGGCGGGCAUGCCUGUCCGAGCGUCAUUUCAACCCUCGAACCCCUCCGGGGGUCGGCGUUGGGGAUCGGCCCUCCCUUAGCGGGUGGCCGUCUCCGAAAUACAGUGGCGGUCUCGCCGCAGCCUCUCCUGCGAAGGAGUUUGCACACUCGCAUCGGGAGCGCGACGCGUCCACAGCCGAAAAACACCCAACUUCUGAAAUGUUGACAUCGAUCAGGUAGAUACCCCAGAAACUUAAGCAUAUCAUAGCGG